ACACGUGGAUAACCUGCCUCAAGGCUGGGGAUAACAUUUGGAAACAGAUGCUAAUACCGAAUAAAACUUAGUAUCGCAUGAUACAAAGUUAAAAGGCGCUACGGCGUCACCUAGAGAUGGAUCCGCGGUGCAUUAGUUAGUUGGUGGGGUAAAGGCUUACCAAGACAAUGAUGCAUAGCCGAGUUGAGAGACUGAUCGGCCACAUUGGGACUGAGACACGGCCCAAACUCCUACGGGAGGCUGCAGUAGGGAAUCUUCCACAAUGGGCGCAAGCCUGAUGGAGCAACGCCGCGUGUGUGAUGAAGGCUUUCGGGUCGUAAAGCACUGUUGUAUGGGAAGAAAUGCUAAAAUAGGGAAUGAUUUUAGUUUGACGGUACCAUACCAGAAAGGGACGGCUAAAUACGUGCCAGCAGCCGCGGUAAUACGUAUGUCCCGAGCGUUAUCCGGAUUUAUUGGGCGUAAAGCGAGCGCAGACGGUUGAUUAAGUCUGAUGUGAAAGCCCGGAGCUCAACUCCGGAAUGGCAUUGGAAACUGGUUAACUUGAGUGUUGUAGAGGUAAGUGGAACUCCAUGUGUAGCGGUGGAAUGCGUAGAUAUAUGGAAGAACACCAGUGGCGAAGGCGGCUUACUGGACAACAACUGACGUUGAGGCUCGAAAGUGUGGGUAGCAAACAGGAUUAGAUACCCUGGUAGUCCACACCGUAAACGAUGAAUACUAGGUGUUAGGAGGUUUCCGCCUCUUAGUGCCGAAGCUAACGCAU
RNAcentral lists this ribosomal RNA (760 nucleotides) under Leuconostoc mesenteroides. RNAcentral describes it as "bacterial SSU rRNA". It matches the Rfam family "Bacterial small subunit ribosomal RNA", at positions 113 to 860 of the family's 1533-position model. Lineage: Bacteria; Bacillati; Bacillota; Bacilli; Lactobacillales; Lactobacillaceae. The record is from RNAcentral.